UGAUUCUGGCUCAGGAUGAACGCUGGCGGCGUGCUUAACACAUGCAAGUCGAACGGUGAUAGCAAUAUCACAGUGGCGCACGGGUGAGGAACACGUAGCUUAUCUGCCCUCAAGUGUGGGAUAACGGUCCGAAAGGAUUGCCAAUACCGCAUAAGCUCACGGACUCUAGAGGUCUGCGAGAAAAGGAGUAAUUCGCUUGAGGAGGAGGCUGCGGCCCAUCAGGUAGUUGGUGCGGUAACGGCGCACCAAGCCAACGACGGGUAGGGGACCUGAGAGGGUGACCCCCCACACUGGGACUGAGACACGGCCCAGACUCCUACGGGAGGCAGCAGUGAGGAAUAUUGCCCAAUGGACGAAAGUCUGAGGCAGCGACGCCGCGUGGGUGAAGAAGGCCUUCGGGUCGUAAAGCCCUUUUCUGUGUGACGAGCAAGGACGGUAGCACAGGAAAAAGUCUCGGCUAACUACGUGCCAGCAGCCGCGGUAAAACGUAGGAGGCAAGCGUUAUCCGGAGUUACUGGGCGUAAAGCGUGCGUAGGCGGGUCGGUAAGUGGGUCGUGAAAGCGCCGGGCUAAACCGGGCGAGGACGAACUAGACUGCCGGUCUAGAGGCGGAUAGAGGGGUGCGGAAUUCCGGGUGUAGCGGUGAAAUGUGUAGAGAUCCGGAGGAACACCAGUGGUGCAAACGGCGCCCUGGGUCCGAACUGACGCUGAGGCACGAAAGCGUGGGGAGCGAACGGGAUUAGAGACCCCGGUAGUCCACGCCGUAAACGGUGUCAACUAGGUGUCCACUUGGCUACGUCAAGGGGGUGCCGAAGCUAACGCUAUAAGUUGACCGCCUGGGGAGUACGGUCGCAAGGCUAAAACUCAAAUGAAUUGACGG
RNAcentral lists this ribosomal RNA (879 nucleotides) under uncultured bacterium. RNAcentral describes it as "bacterial SSU rRNA". It matches the Rfam family "Bacterial small subunit ribosomal RNA", at positions 14 to 916 of the family's 1533-position model. The record is from RNAcentral.